GUGCUCACUUCAGUAGCACAUACACUAAAACUGGAAUGAUACAGAGAAGAUUAGCAUGGCCUCUGCACAAGGAUGACAUGCAAAUUUGUGAAGCAUUUCAUAUUAAA
RNAcentral lists this small nuclear RNA (107 nucleotides) under Sciurus carolinensis (gray squirrel). The record is from RNAcentral. RNAcentral also lists the same sequence under 1 other name. Lineage: Eukaryota; Metazoa; Chordata; Mammalia; Rodentia; Sciuridae.